Molecule: ribosomal RNA, 656 nt
Filed under: Glomeromycotina sp. AB-2014
Lineage: Eukaryota; Fungi; Glomeromycota
Description: SSU rRNA
Rfam family: Eukaryotic small subunit ribosomal RNA
Source: RNAcentral
GUAACGGGGUGUUAGGGCACGACACCGGAGAGGGAGCCUGAGAAACGGCUACCACAUCCAAGGAUGGCAGCAGGCGCGCAAAUUACCCAAUCCCGACACGGGGAGGUAGUGACAAAUAAAUAACAAAUACGGGGUUCUAAAGGAUUUCGUAAUUGGAAUGAGUACAAAUUUAAAUCUCUUGACGAUCAACAAUUGGAGGGCAAGUCUGGUGCCAGCAGCCGCGGUAAUUCCAGCUCCAAUAGCGUAUAUUAAAGUUGUUGCAGUUAAAAAGCUCGUAGUUGAAUUUCGGGGUUAGUAGGUUGGUCAUGCCUCUGGUAUGUACUGAUCUCACUGAUUCCUACCUUCUGACGAACCAUCAUGUCAUUAAUUUGGUGUUGCAGGAAAUCAGGACUGUUACUUUGAAAAAAUUAGAGUGUUUAAAGCAGGCUUAGGCUUGAAUACAUUAGCAUGGAAUGAUGAAAUAGGACGUUUGAACCUAUUUUGUUGGUUUCUAGGAUCGACGUAAUGAUUAAUAGGGAUAGUUGGGGGCAUUAGUAUUCAAUUGUCAGAGGUGAAAUUCUUGGAUUUAUUGAAGACUAACUACUGCGAAAGCAUUUGCCAAGGAUGUUUUCAUUAAUCAAGAACGAAAGUUAGGGGAUCGAAGACGAUCAGAUACC